UUGCCGAUCUUUCCCGAAGGGCAUAAUGAUCGUUGAUUAUUUUGAUGUUUGUAAAAACGUUACGAAUGGCGGGAUAUGUGUAUGAUUUUUAAUAUUUUUGCGUGUGAAUGCUAAAACGUGAAAAAUAGUUUUCUGUUUGCAAUCAUGGCAAAGUUAUCAGCAUAUGAUUCGCACAGUGAAGGGCCGGAAUAUGUUGGUAUACGAUUCUGCUUGGAAUGUAACAACAUGUUGUACCCUAAAGAAGAUAAAGAAAACAAAGUGUUGUUAUACGCUUGUAGAAAUUGUGAUUACAAGCAGCUAGCACCAAGCAAUUGCAUUUACGUGAACAAGAUCAUGCACGAGAUCGACGAACUGACGCAUAUCGUUUCUGAUGUUGUUUCGGACCCGACACUGCCUCGAGCAGAAGAUCACCCGUGCCCCAAGUGCAACCACCGCGAGGCUGUGUUCUUCCAGGCCCAGACCAGGAGAGCUGAAGAAGAGAUGAGGCUGUAUUACGUAUGCACAAACACUCACUGUGGUCAUCGCUGGACUGAAUAACUUGUUAUAGUGCAUUUGUUUACAUUGAUUUGCAAGACUGUCAUCAUGAGCAAUGAUGCAAUAACAGAAGUAGACUAAAAAAAUCGGUAUUUUCACGUCCGUAUAAAUUUUUUCUUCAUGUUGCUCUUUUUUAUAAGGAAUAAAUAAAAACCAAACAUUAUAGUAAUCAAUGUAAAAAAAAAUUGUGUUUAUCUGAAACUUUGUUUUUAAUUGUGCAGACGAACAGGAAAAAACUCGAAAAGCAGUUUCUCUAGAAUUUCCCCUUCAUCCAACUAGUUGUCGCUUAUUCGUCAUACCAUCUGGUCACGUCGUCGGCAGCCCACAGCAAAUGUGAAGUGAUGGGAAAAGAAUAGAAUCACACAUGCUGGUCGGGGGUGAGUCAUUUGUUUUUCAAACCAAUUUUUUUGUCACUGUAAAUCAGGCCCGAGUUGUCAACGUUUGUUUGGGGUGUCGGUGAUCGCCUGCGAGGCAUAGGUCUCAAAAUUUAGUGAACCUCAGUUAAGAGGUAACUGUGAAUUUUGUCAUCGGUUUGGAUAAGUUGACAAGCAUGUUUCGGGAAGAAGAAAUCAAAACACAGAUAAGAAAUUAUUUUAUUUAAUCAGCAGCUCAUUUUCACUUUCGAGUGCAAAAAGACUGACUUAGUGAUAUUUAAAUGUUGCGAAUUGUGACAGUGUUAAGUGUGUCUGGCUGGGCUGACUCGACAUAAAAAAGUUCAAUCUAUUUUUUUUAUCUUAACCUAACUUAAAACUGUAGAGUUAUUCAUUAACAGAGCAUCUUUUCCAUGAAAAGAAAUUUUCUGGAACUGUUAACUUAGUUGUCCUGCAGAGAAGAAUUUUUUAAUUCUACUGUAUUUUACAAAAAUAUGUAAAGCACGCACAAAUUUAUUUUUAGGUUAUAUUGUGUUGAAAACUUUCUUAGACCUUACUUAACAAAAUAUUAAAAAAAAUUUUUGUAAUGUCGCAGAAUGUACAUGGAAAAUUUAGAUGCGCUGAUACAGCAGUAUUUAAUUAUUUAAUGGUCUUGCAUUAUUGUUAGGUUAAAAUGUAAAUUUCGGUAUUUAAAAUAUCUAUGAAUGUCAAGAGAUUUUUUAAAUACACCACUAAUGAAAAUGUCCAAGGAGUUUGUAUUCAUCAUUGUGCAAUAUUUGGAAAAGGUCAUUGUAAUAGUGAUAAAUUGACAGAUUAGUCCCGAACUUAGCUUACUUAUUAAAUAUACUUUUGUGUAGCGAGAGUUAAUUGAAAAAAUUAAAGAGAUUGGAAGAAGAAAAAAUAGUUAGUCUGUAAUAUUAUGGUUGUUUCAAACAACUAGAAUGGGAAUAAAGAUAGCUGCAUCAGCGAGUGCCAUUUGGUUAUAUUAUAUGAAAUUUAAUGCACAAUUAAUUUAUUUGAUUAAAAUCACAUAAAAGUGUAUGUAAAAAUAUUUAAUGAUAAAAUUAAUGUGUGGGUCAUUAGUUUUAUGGAAACAAGGUGAAGUUUCUUUAGUACCUAUAUUCUGUAUACGCUUUUAAAAAAAAUCAAUAAUGUUAUCACAAUAAUAUUUAACUAAUUUUAUCUUUCUUCAAAAUUUGAGUUUUUUUCAUUCAUUGCUUUCAUUGCUAAACUUUAGUAAGAAGUUAAAUGUCCAAAAUUGGAUAACUAAAGUUAACCUCUGGGUAUCUAUCUUGCAAGGAAAGGGCGCAAAUUUCGGGUCACCCUUCAAUGGCAAUCUACCCUGUAAAGAAGAAAACCCAACUCUCAAUUUUUCUCGAGAAAUAGCCAAUCAAAAAAAUGACAACUUAUAUACCAGUACUGUUGCAUUCAGAAUCGCUAAAACAGUGUGGGACAGUGGUUAAUCUGAACACCAUGCUAGUGACUUGGGUUUGAUACCAGGUUGGGUACUUCAUUUUUUAUCAAUUUUUCAUCGAUAACAUGCAAAUUAUUUUUAUUUAUUGAUAAUAAUACAUUUUCUCCUUUUUUUUACUGCAAAUGUUCAACUGGUAUGAUGAAAUUAAUAUGAAAUAAGCAAAAUGCUGUUAUUAAAUACACAUCGUAAUUUAUUUUUCAAACACACGUCAAAAUAUGACAAUAUUUACUCAUUUUCAUUUCAGUAAUUUUCUACAGAUUUGGUGCAUACUUGCCAAAAGAAAUUUGUAAAACAUAUGAAGGGUCCAGGGAUAAAACAUGCUAAGUCAAAAAUCAACCAUUUUCUGUUGCAAGUGUGGUGAGAUGAGUUAAAAUGAGAUCUUUAUGGCCGUGUUACGAGACGGGAAUAACCUGUUUAGUCAGAAGAUAUGAGCGGUUAAAGAAACGGUAUACAGGCGAAGAACAUGUCAAGUCAUAGUGAUACAGAGAAAGAACAUGCCAAGUCAAUGGGAAGUAAUUUUUGCAGUUGUGCCAGCACUGUUCACAUUCAUUUGUUUAUAUCACCCCUUACUCUAUAAUGUAUAUUGUUUGUUUCAAUAUUAUGUGAAUAAUGUGUACAGCAGUGUAUUAUAAACAUUUGGCAUUUCAGUGAAUUACUAUUGGCGUUUAUUCAAUUUUGUACAUGUUUGUGAUGUCAUCAAAAAACACAAUGGAUUCAAAUGAAGAUAUCAGGAAUAUUUCCUCCAAUUCAAAAAGAAAACGUAAGUAUGGCCGUUUGCAAGAGGUUAGGAAGAAAAUAAAACUUUGAAGUCAUGAAAUAGGCCCAGACUGCCAAUGUAAGAAAAAGUGUUUUGAGAUUGUAGAUGAAGAUAAAAGAAAAGAGAUAAUUAAACGUAUGAACAGUAUGCAUUCUAAAGACGAGAUAAACAUCUAUCUUGCUGGGUUGAUAACCAUAUUACCAGUUAAACAACGGCAUCCCAGACAGCCAGAAGAAAAAGCAAAUAUGAGAGACGCCACCUUUUCGUACCGUUUACGAUACAUGGAAGAAGGAAAACCAGAUGAAGUAAGAGUUUGCAGAAAAGCUUUCAUAUCAGUACAUGGGAUAGGAAAAGGUAAAGUUAAUUAUAUUUUGCAAUCGCUUAAGAGUUCGGGGGAUGCGCCAAGGGACAAACGUGGUAAACACAAGAACUGUGUUCAUGCACUUCCCGAUGAAACUAACCAAAAAAUUCAUUAUCACAUUAACAGCUUAAGAGGAAGAGAGAGUCAUUAUAGUCAGAAAGACAGCAAGAAGUAUUUACCUGAAGAGUUAAAUAUAUUGAAGGUCUACAAAAUGUUCCUAGAGAAGAAUCCUGGUAUAAAAGUAUCAUACGAGACCUACAGAAGUAUUUUCAAUGCAGAUUUUAAUAUUGCUUUUGGAUGUAUUUAAUGCCAGAAAAAGUUGCUUAGAAGCAGAACUGCAAACCGCUGAGGACAACCAAACAAAAGAAAUGUUAAGUAAUGAAAUUAACAUUAUCUGCACUGUUAGGGAAUCACAUAACAAGACAGCUCAGUAAUGGUACGAUCUAAAAAGAAAGGCCAAAGUUACAUGUCGACGUGACAUCACAAAGGAAGCAAUAGUGUUUGAUUUCUCAAAGAACUACCCGAUUCCGAAUAUCACUACUGGUGAAGUUUACUACAGACGUCAACUUUCUAUGUUCUUCUUCAAUGUCCAUGUUUUGUCGACUGGAAGAAGCGUGUUUUAUGUUUAUCCUGAAACAGUCGGGCAAAAGGGAAGUAAUGAAGUUUGUUCUUUUCUCCACCAUUUCAUCUACAACUAUCUAGAAGAAAAUGUCACCGAACUGGAGGCAUUUUGCGAUUGUUGCCCUGGGCAAAACAAAAACCACACCGUUUUCAAAUUUCUCCAUCACCUUGUUCACAAGGAACACCGCCUGCAACAUGUCACAUGUACAUACCCGAUAAGAGGACAUUCAUAUAAUGAAUGUGACAAGAACUCAAGACUGAUAAACCAAAAAACAAGAGCCGAGAUGCCAGAAGAAUGGGCUGAAACCAUCAGAAUCUCAAGAGUAAAGCCUUCAACUUUUGAAGUGGUUGAAGUUGAACAAGAAAGAUCAAAGAUUGGACAACACACCUGGACACAUACUAUCAGAAGAAGUUGCAGCGUGCUUUUCGAACUGUCAAGGUUUUAAUUGUUUCAGAAGAUCAUCCAGCACUUAUAAAAUAUCGGAACUCCUUUCAUGGACCAUGGAAUAACGUCCCAGUGCUACCUACAAAGGGUAAAAAGAAGCAGCAGCCAUUGCAACAUCAGCAAGUGUCAGAAACUGAGUUUAUUCUGCCAAACAUUGCCUAUGAUGGUGAGUUAAAAAGUCAUAUUUUACACCUAUAUCUACCAAAAUAAUUUAUUUUGUUUUCCAUUACAUUUUUCAUCCUUCUGAGUGAUUAUUUAAUGUUCAAAUAAUCUAACAUAUUCCAAUGUCAUAGCUAAAUUAUCUUUUCACGUAUUUGGUGUAUGAUUUGGUUAUUAUAAACUGCCCUAAAAAAUUAUUACAGUCAUGAAUAAGUUAUCAAUUAAUGUUAAAUAUAAUACAGGUAUAUGCCAUUUUACAUGUUUGGAUACUAUCCUAGUUUAUUUUUUCAGCUGGUUUGCUGGUCACAAAGGAAAAGUAUGAUGAUCUGCAGUGCUUGAAGAACGUUUGUACAAAUCCAAGGUGGCAGACUACUACACUGGCCUAACUCAUAAGUAGUGAAUGUCUGUUCCUGUAGAUAAAUAUACGACUAUAUUGCAUUUUUGUUCCUUUAAUGAGAAAGAAUUAUAUUUCAAAUAAAAUUUUAAUUGUGGUUCCACAUAGAAAUAUGUCAUCACCAUUGUUUUGCAAUAAUUAAUGAAAGUAGUAUUUCUCUGCAUAUCAAUUACAGGGGAAAACCAGGUUAGGUCACAACAAUGAUUACACAAGUUUUAAUAAUUUUACAUACUCUAUAAAAAAUUAAACCAUUAUAAUAUUUUAGCUAUAUGUUCUUUGUUCUUUGUUAGUGUAAUAUUCUAAGAAAAAGGCUUGCAGCAAAUAAUGAUUGUAUGUUAGCUCUUGAAAGUACUUAAACAUUAAAAUUGCUCUCCUGAAAAAUCAUUAAAAUUGACUUAACAUGUUUUACCCCUGGGCCCUUCAUACAUAUUAUGUUCUGUUUACACCACAUGUACUGUAUAAAUGUGACAUUUUUGUGAAUUUAUUUUUUUUUUUUUAAACAAAGCAGAUGCAAGCAGGUUUUGUUAACAUUUUGUAUUGUAACUUUUGGUUCUAUGAGUUUCGCAGCAUACCAAAUCUAUUUCAACUUGUAAGUCAACUGUGGAGGCUCAAUUGGUGAAAAACUAAUUAAUUUUUUUUGUGGCAUCUCAAACUUGGAUAUUUCUUUUUUUCUUCUUCUUUUUGUAGUAUCGUAAGGCCAUUGACACAGAAAGCUAAAAAAAAAUUUUCAUUUGAAAUAACGUACAAGGAAAAAAAAUUGCAAUGCUUAAAAUCUAAUAGUGAUGGUCCGUACUGUGGUAAAUUAAUUUUUUAUUUCUUGUAUUUUCAAUAAAAUGAAACAUGAAUUUUCAAGUAAUCAUUGAAAAAUUGAUAAAAUAUAAAAAAAAUAAUAGCCAAAAAGGGAUUAAACCUGAAACACCAGUGCAAUAGUCAGAUGCUCUAACUGGUAGGGCACGCUACCUCAAUAACUUUGAAUGCAAUGUCAUGGGUAUAUAAAUUGUGUCUCGUUUUUCGAUAAGAUAUUUGUAGAGAAUGAUUGAGAUUUGGGUUUUUUCCUUUACAGGGGAGGUUGCUAUUGGGAUGUAAUUUAUUCUUGCAAAGGGACGUAAAAAUCGGUGACCUGAAGUUUGCGCCCUCUUCGUGUUAAACCCAAGUUACUUCUCAGUGAAGUACAAAUUAUUAAAUUUAAAUGAAAAGGUCUUCAGUCAGCUUAAAAUCUUAAUUGAUUAUGGUAAAAUUGGUCUUAAGAAGCAAAAAAAAAAAUAUAGAAAUAUGUAUUAUACUGAAAAUUAUGUAAAUCACUAAAAUUUCAAUAACAGAAAUGUCAGUAUACUUAAAAUUUGUUUCUAAUAGACAGUGAACUCCUACCCUUUUAAGGUAAAUGAUAUAGUGUUAGUUGUAGAUGCAAAAAAAUAUAUAUAUAUAUAUUGUUGGCUAAUUCACAUUCUUUUAAAAUAGUAAUGUGGUGAAAAACAUAAGGCUAUUGAACAUAACUUAGCAUAACUUCAGAGUAUUUAAUUAACAUCUGCAUAAGCUUGAUAAAAAAUCAAACCAUCCACCAUCCAAAAAGCCAAGGUACAUGUUUACAAAGAUUAUCAUGUUCAACAUUAUUACUUUUCUUGAACAGAAUUAAAUUGUAGGAUAUAAAUAUUUACACUGCAUUAUAAAUUUUUCAUGUUAAGUUUGUACAAAUUUUUUUACAUUAUUUGGAAAUUAUUUUGCAUUGCUGAGUGCAAAGCUCCUUUCUGGACCUUCUUAAGUUAUUCGCUGUAUGUCUUCAAUUUGCAUUUUAUCUUGUUUUGUCACACAACUCGCAUUUCUGAAGCCUUCGUUCUACUUCGGUCCACGUUGGUAUUAACCCAUGCCUAUCAGCAGUGUUGUUAAAAGUACUCGGAAAAAGUAAUUGGGCUCAAUUACAAUUACUGUGGUGAUAAUGUAACUAAUUACAAGUAAAAAUUACUUUACAUAGAAGUAAUCAGUAAAAUUACAAUUACUUUCCGCUACCAAUUUUAAAACUGACCUACGAUUCAAUUUUUUUACACUUUGUUACAUUAAUAAACAUACAUAUUUGUUUUGUUAAAAAAAUGAUUACAUGUAAUGAUUAAAUUUAUUAUCUUUAAUUAAAUGAAUAAUAUUUGAGGACAAACUUGCUUGAAUAACAUCAAAAGACUUCAUACAAGUAGUGGAAUUGACCUUACAAAAAAUUGCAUUUUAAAGUUCCCAUCAGAUAGAUUCCCUCUCUUGAUGGCAAAAACAUCUUUACCAACACUAAAAAGACGCUCAACAGGAGCACUUGACGGCAGCGAUGUGACAAAUUUUUAAAAUGCAGAUUUUAGGAUAGGGUAAUGUUGGAGACACUGCAAGUCACUAUGACUCUUCAUUUUUGAUCAUAGAUGUUGUGCAUACGAUCGUAGCAAUACAAGCGUAAAAUUAUAAACUUUACUAAUACAAUUCUUGUUCUUAAUUGUAUUCAUUAUACGUUCCGAGAAUAAAAGUAACGGCAAGUAAAUAUAAAGUAUCGAUUACCUUAAUGUAUCGAUUACAAUUAAUGUUAUGUAUUCCGAUUACAAGUACGAAUUACAUUUUUUAAAUGUAAUUCGUUACAAGUAUAAAUUACUUGAAAAGUAAUCGUUACAAGUAAUCCGAUUACUUGUAAUUCGUUACUUAACAACACUGCCUAUCAGUACCUGUCAUCAUUUCUUCUUUGGAAAGAGAUAAUAAUAAAAAUAAAUAGAUUUUUUUCAAAACCAUCCGUUCUCUUGAUUUUGUAGCCCUGGGCUGUAGCAACAAAAGCUUGUGUAGUUGCAUACAGAAUAAUUUUCAGAGCUCACGAAUUUAAAGUAAAAAAUUAGUUUAUAGCGAAACCUCACAUGUCGAAGUUGAUAGGUUUAUCAGGAGUUUGUGUAGACUUAAUUUCAGUCUAGCAUGGUAAAUUGGGUGAAAUGGUCUUAAGACAACAUUUUAAAUAAUAUAUGCUGAGAUAUUGGCACACCCUGAGAAUAUGAGUGGCACCAUUUUUGGUGCCUGAUCUUGAUCUGUACUUGAGAUUAUAAAGUAUGUGUAAGGUCUGUUGUUUUCGAAACUGAUUGUCCUCAAAAACUAUUAGAUCAGCUAGAAAAAUAAACCCAACAAAUUUAUUGUGUAACUACAGAAAAAUUAAUUUCAAUCCCUCACAUUUAAUAAAAACCUCUUUAAUUAGCUUAACAAUUGGUCUUUAGUAAUUUUUCAGUAUUUUCUUUGUAAAAAUUAUUUUUGGUGAAGAUUGUUUAAAUGCUGAAUGUUUAUAAUGUUGAAUUCCAUAAAUUUCUGUAACUAAGAUUUUUUAUUUGAAAAUUUAUUAAACUGAAAUAUUUUUCUGAAUUCAAUGCUGUCCCAAAAAGUGUGUACUACCAAUGGCAUAUUUUUUAUAAGAAUUUUAAAAGCUGUUUUUUUUUAAUUUGAUUGGAAAUUUUUUAUUAAGCAAUUUGUUUAUAUAUUUUCUAAAGUGGUUAAUAAACUGUAUUAAUGUAACAAUUAUUUUUAAAUCACAUCAAUCAAAUUUUGUAGCAAAAAUUACUUAUUUUUGAUCCUGAUCCGACGAAUAAAAGAACUUUCAAGAAU
Molecule: long non-coding RNA, 8716 nt
Organism: Bacillus rossius redtenbacheri
Lineage: Eukaryota; Metazoa; Arthropoda; Insecta; Phasmatodea; Bacillidae
Exons: 2
Source: RefSeq, a predicted model, not a curated record